Molecule: long non-coding RNA, 4690 nt
Organism: Lycium ferocissimum
Lineage: Eukaryota; Viridiplantae; Streptophyta; Magnoliopsida; Solanales; Solanaceae
Exons: 4
Source: RefSeq, a predicted model, not a curated record
CUUUUUAUGUUCCAAUUAGUGUCGGCUUGCGUGUGGAUAAAGUAAAUAAUAACAAAUCUAUUAAAAAUAGAGGAAAAUCUGACAGUGUUGUUUAUCUAUAUGAAUCUGUAAAAAUGAAGGAAAAGAUAAGAAAGGAAACAUUCCUAUUAGAUGUUGCUUCUCACUUCUCUUACCUGUGUAUUGUAAUUUUUGUUGCAGCUUUUUCUGAAGUUGCUUAUGCGUAAGAGGAUUUGAGAAAUUUCUACAUAAGUUGAUGAACCUAUUUUCUUUUUGGCGGAAGAAGGGAAAUAAUAGUUGCCAAAAGCUAUCAUGUCUCGAACUCUUAGUUUUGUAAGCUACGUUACUAAUAAAUCAUAACAACAACAUACCCCGUGUGAUCCCACAAGUGGGAUCUGGGGAGGAUGAGGUGUACGCAGACUUACCCCUAGCUCAAGCAAAACUAAUGGUUGGGUAACUUUCACAAUGAUGCAAUAAUUGGGCUCUGAUUUUUUUUAAAUGCAACUCUCAUAUACAUAAUGACCAAUGGAAAUUUCUAAUUGCAUCAGUCUAUUGAUGUACCUUUUAAGGCUUUGUUGGAAUAGUUGUCUUCAUUUUUUAGGAUUAACUUAUUUUUGUAUAAAUAUGAUGGUUUAGUUAUUGAAGUUACACUCAUUUCCUUGCAAUUUUCAUAAAUUGAACUUCAAUAAUGUCCUGAAAUAGCUGUCUAUAUGAAUUUGUUAGAGCUAAGUAGACUGGGGACCUACUUUCUCCCGGUGAAGGAUAAAAUAAAUGAUAUUAUUUAAGAGUUGAACAAUCUUUGAGGAUAGUCAUGUAUUGUUUGUCAGAUUAAUGAAUCCCUAUUUCUGGACCAAAUUCUUUUUGAUGUUUUUUCCUCUUUUGCCUACUAUCUUGUCUCUGUUUGAGUAGCGUCUCUAUGUAGACGAGCAUAAUAGCUAGAAUAAUGUGAGAAAACUUGGAUAGUAGUGUUCUAAUACUUGGUCACAUGUGAACUAGAAGUACGAACGCUCAAGUUCAAGUGCUCUUCAUGCUUAGGUUCGUAGCUCCAACGAUUUUCUUGGGGCUACCCAACAAGUAACAUAGGAGGAUAAUGCUUGAAUUAUCUGAAGCUAAAUGUUGGUCUCCUAUAAGUUGUCAUACCCAUGGAUAUCAUGUUUUUCUCCCCAUUCAUUUAGUUUUCCUAACUACAUUUCAUUUGUAAUAUGAAGCUAGAUGGUAGUCUCCUGUAAGUUGUCAUACUCAUGGAUCUCAUGUUGUUCUCUCCAUUCAUUCAGUAUCCUAUCUACAUUUCGUAUUUACUUCAUCUCAUUAUACAUCAUGGUAAAUAAUUUGUAGAUGUAAAGGCACUUUCCCCGGUAGGUGAAUACUAUUAAUAAACUUAUUUUUUAUGGUGGCACGCAUAACUGUAUAAAGUUGGGAACUAAUAAAAAAUGUAUUCCAAAAUAUAGGUUGAUAUCUAAAUUAAUCAAGAAAUUCAUUAUCUUUAAUCCUUUAUCUAAGAAAGAUCCAAAGGAAAUAACUCACAAGAACUUCUAUUGUGCUGCAGACUAUUCAUAUUUUGUUUUGAUGAUGAACUUUCACCUGGGUAUUUCUCAGCAAUUUUUUUGCCAAUUACGUGAAAACUAUUCACGCAAGGACAUUGUUGUUAUAUUUGUGAAUUCACCCUAGCUACUUGUGUUUGAUUUCUUUUGUUUGAAUUGUUAGUAUUUAAUCUAAUUAUAUACUUGAAAGAAGGGUAAAUUCAACUUGCGAUAAUCCAUAGGCUGAUUGUUUACUGGGGCUCUUUUUAGACAAUUGUGUAGUUUGGAAAAAGAAUUUGGUGGAGAUGAUACAGUAAGUGAUCGCACAGCUCUCAUACUGGAUAAUUUCAACCAGCAAAUGGCAACCUAUGAAGCAUCUUUACAGGCAAGUCCACUUUUAAUAUCGGUAUUGCAUCUUGAGAUUUUUGCACUUUUGCAUAACCAGUGUGAAUUUGUUCAGGUAUCAUUGGCACAAAUGGAAUACUAAUUACCACGGCUAACCCGUAUGUGGACUCAAUUUGGGUCAAGGGUAUGGGUGAAAAACAAAUUGAAGUAGACAAGACAAUUUUACAUACUCAAGUAAGCAAUUUUCAUUUAUCAUCAUAAAUUAUGCAUGUCUGUAGUGGUAAGUAACUUUCUGUCCAGUUCAUAUUUAAGUAGAGCUACAUAUCAACCCUCUAUAUUUAUUAACUUUCUGGACAAUUGUAGAGGUUGGAUUGUGGUGUGAGUAAUAUUUUGAUCAUUAGUUCUCAGACAUGAUUUUUUGCCUGUGAUAGUUUUCAAUUUGUUACUGGUUUUAGUGAUAUUUCAAGUGGCCUUUGUAUGUGCCUUUGGCCUUCCCAAAUUUCAACAGCAAAAUGCUUCUUGCGAGCACCACCACACCAAAUUUCAUAGAGAUGAGAUACUAAAAGUUCACUGAUGCACUACUGAUAGAGUAAAUGAUCUCGCAAGUAGCUUUGAAACCUUUUGAUUAGUAACCGUUGUCUUUAGCUAAGUACUGUAAGAAAGUGCAGCAGAGUAUCUACUCCAUCUACUCUUGAGAUUGGAAGUGUCUCACGAUAUAAAUCUAGAUUGCUGUUGGAUAAUUGCAUUUUCAUAUCUACCAGGUGUGUAUACGUGUAUGAAGUAUGUGCCUCAUUUUAGAGGAAUCUUGAGGCUAGCGAGCUAUAUGUAAAUUUGAUACAUGACCCAUUUAUUCAUGGGGUUUGAAUGAAGGCUCACCUCUUCUGGGCUUAAACUCAAGUCUACGCAUGACUAUUGCAGGACAGUAAUAUUUUUUUUGAUUUCAUCCGGAGGUUUUAGCUAUAUAAUAAUAUACAAGUGCUUUACCGAAAGUGUAAGUAUAACCCGUUGCUAAAAUCUCGGUGCCCUUCCCAUUAAAAUUUUACAUAUCUAUUAUUACAUUUAGCGUUGAAUUUUGGUUAAUUGAAUUUCUUUAUCAGUUUCAUUUCGUCAGAAAGUAUGCCCCAAAAGUAUUCGAAGUCAUCCUACAAAAUAACGUUGUUUUUAUCGCGCAUCAGAUGAUGUGAAACAAUUACUACUUUACAUGAGGACGCAUGAUGCUCAUGUUGUAAUUCGAUAAUGAAAUAUUUAAGGAAUGCCUUCUGACAUCAAUGUGAAUGAACUCUAAAAUUACAAAUGUUAGGUAUCUUAUGUGAUUGAGUUAAUUAUUGAUUCAUUUUCAAAGUUUACUUAAAUGCUUUUGCUUGCACUUUCUUAUUACCUGCUUAGGCAAAAAGUGGUCGUAGAUGCAAAUUUACAAGGUAAAAGAUUGUUCAAAGUUAUUAGUUUAAUAAAGCAAUAAAAUGACACUAGGCACCCGUGCGAAUUACGGGCACGCUAACUAUAUAAUAAGCGUGGGUUGAGGGUACGACGAAGGGUAUUCCCGUUAAUAUUGACUGUUUUACGGGCAAAAUGAUAUCCUUCCUCUUCCCUUAUAUUGAGCCAUCUUUUGGGAAACCAAAAGCCCACUGUCCAUCCUCUUCCAUUUAUUUGCUCUUCUUCUUAGUUUUACAAGGUUUUCUUCCAAAAUUCUAAAUCAGAAUUCCAAGUCGACUCUACUGAUUGUGCGUUUUUUAGGAUAAUUUUAAAUUCCCUUAAAAACUCUACAACUAGUCAACCACACAGAAGUAACUGCUAAGCACCUCUAUAACGGUCGACUCUUUGGUAGAGAUUGAUCGUUUCAACUGGGUUCUUCAUGCGUGGGUACUUUGGAAGAUUCAAGAUUAAUUUUUGUGUGAAAAUUUUGAUGGGUUAUUCUCAGGUGAGUUUCACCCUUGCCCAUCCUCUGCUUGAUUUACUUCAUGUAUUACGCCCAAAGUUAGUCUAUUUUGGUAGUGGUGAAGACUUCAAAGUUUGUUGGUGUUUCGAUUUUGAACUGAUUGCAUAUAAUCUUCACAUCAAUCUAACCUCUAUAAAGGUAUUUCUUCUUUUAAGAAUUGCCAAUCACAUAUACUCUACUGAUGUGCCGGGCAAAUAGGGUAAAGAUAUGUGGGAGAGUACUAUUACAAUUGUCCUGUUGUGUUAGAUGCAUUAAUAAUUAAGCAUUUCAAAAUUGUUGUUUAAUUGAGUUUGCUUUGGCUAUAGCUACAUUCUUUGUAGGGCAGUUACAGGUCUUCAACCAACAACAACAAAAAUGUUAGUGACAAAUUCCAUCAUGCUUCAUAGUUUACAAUGUCCAAAAAUUUAAAAUUAGGAUCCAUCACAAGUUAUCACAACAGGUUUAAGAUCCAGAGCUUCAAGAUAUGCAUGGUCGGUGACAGACUGGAUACGGAUAUACUGUUUGGACAAAGUGAUGGCUGCAAAACUCUUCUUGUUCUUUCAGGUGUGACGUCUUUAUCGAUGCCUCAAGAUCCCAAAAUCUCUAUAUAACCGGAUUUCUACCCCAACAAUAUUUCUGAGAUCCUCUCUAUCACACCAGCUGCAGUUUGAGUCAGUCCACUAACAAACUCUAUAUGGUAAUUCAAUUCUUUUGUCUGAAAUGUAAUUAGAAUAUGUACUUCAUCUGUACAUCCACUUCUCUUUAAGCUAAAAUGUGGGACCUUGAACAUAGGCUAUCUGAGAAGCUAUAUAAUACAUUGUACUAAGGAGAUUAUGGAAUACCAACCAUUCAUACUAUUUACCAAUCAAAAAAAAAAAAACUUUCAAGAUAAAUGGUUUUUAGAAAACUAAUA